CGAGGGCAAGUGCAAUUGGUGGGGUUUUCCACACUCGCCUGAUCGAUACAUGAGGAUUGUUCGAUGUAUGUCGAUCAAUCGUGGAAGGGAGGCGCCUUUGGGCGUCGACGAGACCGAAGAGGAUGAAGAGGGAAGAACACCGAGGUUGUUCAUGGUCUCGGUGGGUUUGCUCGACCGAGGGGAAGAGAGUGGUGCGACCGGGGUUGAGGUUUGCUCGAGUCUCACAGGUCGUAUUCUUCUUCUCUUUUUAUUUUUAUUUUCUGAUCGAUAGCGCAGUGGGUAUCCCCGGGGUUUGGCGAGGCGGAAGGGGGGGGAUGGAAAGGAAUGGCAGCGAAGUUGCUGGGGUCUCGGUCGGCUGCUAGGUGCGGAGGGGAAGGAGGACAUUUGUCCCGACGGACCGAGGCAAGCGGGAACAGCAGCUCCAGUGGGAGUUUUGGCAGUGGUGCUUGAUAGAAGAAGAUGAGGUUGCUCAGGAAAGAAGGAAGAACAGGAACGAAGGAAGAACGGAAGAGGAAUCAAGGAUGGCAGCAACUCCGAUUACUGUUAUGUUUUUUCAGUCAGCAAGGUAUUCGUGGGGCAGGAGGAUCGUAAGGGAUAGAGAUAUUUGAGUGAUCUCUUUUUGUUUUUAAUGCUUGAUCUUUUUUGUUUUUGUUUUUGUUUUUUUUUGUUUUUGUUUUCUUUAUUUUUUUUUCUUUUUAGUGUUUAAUCGGUUUUCGUUGUUUUUCUUAAUUGGGUCAUCGUGUCGUGUUUUUGUCUGACACGACACGACAUAACAAAGUUUUAUGUGACACGAAUAUGACACGACACAAUGUCGUGUUUUUUUAACUAAUACGAAAAGAACCGAUUAAAAAACGAUAAA
Molecule: long non-coding RNA, 859 nt
Organism: Lactuca sativa (garden lettuce)
Lineage: Eukaryota; Viridiplantae; Streptophyta; Magnoliopsida; Asterales; Asteraceae
Source: RefSeq, a predicted model, not a curated record